Molecule: long non-coding RNA, 334 nt
Organism: Empidonax traillii (willow flycatcher)
Lineage: Eukaryota; Metazoa; Chordata; Aves; Passeriformes; Tyrannidae
Exons: 3
Source: RefSeq, a predicted model, not a curated record
CUGUCUCAUAUCUCCCACCGCCAUGUGCCAGCUGAUAGGGGAGCUGUGACAUACCACACCCCCGCGGCCGGGAAGGGGGUCACAUGGAACUGGUCUCAUCCAGAGCACUUUAAAGAAACUGAUAAGCUCUAUCUCAUUUAACUUGGCCUUUGGAAGACGCUUGUGGAAAUUUCUGCAAAGGAGGUGACAUCAGUUGUUGUCACAGCUGCUGUGCCCUACAGUGACCUUAUUGGUGGCUGAGUCUAGAGAGACACCUCAUGAUUCUGAAUUAAGAGUUUUUCCAUCUCCAAAAUCAGGGGUAUUUUGAGAUACUGGGAUGAAAAGCCAAGAGGGA